This 3795-nucleotide long non-coding RNA is filed under the name Homo sapiens (human). RNAcentral describes it as "HSALNT0226374". Lineage: Eukaryota; Metazoa; Chordata; Mammalia; Primates; Hominidae. The record is from RNAcentral.
ACGAUGCCGAAAAUGAAGAAGACGAAGAAGCACAGCAGAAGGACGUUCCCGAGCAUGGGCAGCGUAUCCAGCAGCAGAGUGACCAGGAUCCGCAUGCCUGUGGGCAGCAGGGCCAGGAUUGGCACUGCUAAGCCCUGCAGGAGUGUCCUCGGGGCUGCAGCCCCUCCCGGGACCCCCGAGCCCCGUCCACUGUUCACAGUGGGUGUCCACGCCCACUGCACACUGACUCGGGCCACCCCCUGGUGAUUUUCCCGCACCCCUAGUGUGAUCGGGACUCCCCUCCUACCACCACCGGCCUCCAGGGACACUGACACCCUGGGGUCUGACGUGCAUCCAGCGGGGCGCCAGGUCUCCACCUCCAACCAUCCCAGGGCAGCAGGUCUGCUGCUUUUGGAGGGCUGGGGUGUGGAGGGGCAGGAGUGGAGGCAGGGGACUGGCCGAGGCAGGGAACUGGCUGCGGCAGGUCUGACCACGUGGCAUCUCGGGCUCGGGAUGACCAGGCGGAGCCCAGUGGCCCUCGAGGCUUGUCUGGCGACACCCUGAAGUUGCCACCAAGGCAGCAGGAGCCUUGGGAGCCCCAGAACCUCAGGUGGUGGGCUGCCUCCUGGGGGUCUCUGCAGCAGGUCUGGGAUCCUGAAAACUUUGUCUGAUUCCCAGUGAGAAUCCUGCCAGAACAGAGCCCCAUCUCAGAGAGAGGCUGCUGGAGGCGGUGGGGAGGACCGGCAGCGGCUUUUCAGGAGGUAGCACUGAAGCCAUCGGUCCUGGGUGCUAUGGGCUACGUGAACUCCAGAUUAAUCCAGCAAGUGGGUCAGCCAAGCCCCACGCGCCCCUCGCUCCAUCCUGGGCCUGCUCCCCCAAGACGUCCUUUCCCUCAAAUUUAAUCAAGGGCCAGGCUAAGGCAGCAGGUCACAAGGGUGAGUCAGAGCCAGGAGGAGCACUGAAGUGUCAAAAGAGCCGACCGGAGCAGACAAUCAGUGAGCACUGCCCUGGCCAGACCGCAACCGCCUCAAAGAUCACAGAUGACCCAGAGGUCAGAGUGGACCCCUAGCCAACAGAACAGGAUGCAGCCCUGAGCGUGUCCUCAUUAUGAGAAGCGUAUUAUCCAGUCUGGAAGAGUUCCCUAGUUCUCUCCUAGAGACAGGAGCAGAUCCCCAGGAGGCCAGGCUGCUGGCGACAAUUAGGGCCACUCUGGCAAUUUAACCUGAAAAGUAAACAUCCAUGGAAGGAAGGGGCUGUGUGUGCUGGGUUGCUUCACGCUUCAACAGGUGGGGCCAGGCCGGCGUGCAGACUGAACGUACAGUGGGUGCCGGGCAAAGGGCCAAGAGCCACACACGCGUCCCCUCACCGCACGCUCAGCCACCCUUGGGGUCAUGGUUACUCCUGUACUGCACUAUUCCAGGAGAAACUGAGGUUCAGGCUCAGCUAGUUGCUCAGAGUCACACAGUAUUCAAGCCCUAUCUGAGCCACACAGUAGAGCCAAGGCAGGCAGGUGGAAGGCAGGCUCAGGGACCAGCGGCACGAGGAUGACCCACCUGCCCUUCGGGAAGCCAGAGGCCCCAUGGGAAGGAGUGCCUAGCCUUGGGGGUCUGUGACUUUGGGGGGUUGCUGCAGGUCAAGCCCUGAGUGCCAAGGCCACCAGGACCCAGGUCAGGCAGCCAGAAAGGCUGUGUUACACCCGCACGUGCACACACGGGGCCACAUCUACACGCAGUAUGCACUCGCGCCUGGUACGGCCUCGUGGGGGCCGCGCCGACCCCCAGGAACCAGAGCAGUUGAAUGUAGCCCUGAGUGCUUAAAGAACGAUCCCACCCCAUCCCCUGAUGCAGGUGGGUGGCCCGGAUUUGACAGGAUGUUUCCCAAACAAGCAGGCAUAUGACUUCCUGGAAGCUCUUCCUCCGCCUCCCCUCACACCCAGCGCACAGCAGACACACAGCAGCUCCUCUCCACCAGGCCCCCUCCUCACACCUGCUGGCCAAAUCCUGAAGGAUUUCCAGCCUUCCUUCUAGAAAAUCAGCUGCUCAGCAGGGGACACGGAGGCCCAGCCCUGGCCAGCCAACUUCCCCUUUCCUUAGGUGGGGAUCCUGGCAGGAGAGUAGGGGCCAGAAGCAGUGGCGGGUGGGGAGAGCGAGGUGUCCUCAGGACAGGUGUCAGGCUCUCCCCUCACUUGUGUGGGUGUGAAGGCGGGGCUUCACAGAGCCCCCAGGUGAGCUGAGCCACACCCACAAGAGUGUCUCCACCACGAGCCACACCAGGAUGCGCCAGACAGCAAAGCCACCAGGGAUCUGCUCGGCCUCCAGCCUUGCCCCAGAUGCCAUGCAGAGAAGGAACCGGAGGUAACACUUCUGCCCGAACAGCCCCAAGGCCACCAUCUUGAUGACCAUCUCCACCGCAAAAAAGGCGAAAAUGAAGGCGUCAAAGGCCUGCGGGAGGAGGCAUCAGGAGGGCCCGUGGAACAGCUCAGCUCAGCCCACAACCCCCAACCCCAGCCCCGCAAGAGCCCGGCCCCCAGUCUUGCCACACCCCUCGCCCCGCCCCUGCCCCGCCCUGAGCCCCAGGAACUGAGCCCUGCCUCGCCUUGAACCUCGCCUCUCGCCCUGCCCCACCCCCAGCCCCACCUCGCGCCCCGCCGUGAACCUCGCCCUGAUCCCCGACCCUGACCCACUCCACGCCCCACCUUGAACCUUGCCCCGCCCCCGCCCCACUCCGCCUUGAACCAUAAACCUCGUAGCGACCCACGCUCCUUCCCCACCCCGACCCACGCCCCUCACCUCCAGGAUGUUGCAGCGCUCGGAGCCGCACUCAACGUCCUCACAGGGCCGGAACAUGCCCAGGGUCACGCAGUUGAGCAUGAUUACCAGCAUGCUCACGUGCUCGAACCAUGUGUCGCCGCGGGUUAAGGAGCACACCGGCGCGGCCCGGGACCCGCUCCCAUGGGGCCCUCCAAAUGCCCACCCGGCCUGGACGGUGGCACAACUCGGGGCAGACUUUCCAGGGCCCCUGUCCCAGGGCUGCGCGGCCCCACCCUGACCAGGGAACCAGAGGAAGGAGGGAGAGGCAAUCCGUCAGCUGACUGUGGACCCAGGAGGGACCUUCCUUAAGGUAGAAGCCGGCAUUUGGAAAGCACCAACUUGUCAGCGAACAGCCUUGGGAAGUCAGGCACCAGCUCUGACAGUCCCUGCCGUCACCAACACGUGGGAACCGAGGAGGAGACAGAGCUGGGCAUCCUCUCACAGCUGAUUCAGGGGCAGCCCGGUGGCCGCCCCCACCCCUGGCUCUGGACUUGGGCCUGUGCUUGACUCUCGGGGGCCGCCCUUCCCAGCACCCACCUGGCGCAGACCACAGGCCUCAGCGCCCACGGCUCCCCCUCACCCCUGGCAGGCCUGCUUGGGACCCGGAUGAUGGUGGCAGCAGCGCCCCCUGCCCAACACGGGCCACGCUCACUACAGCGGAGGUCCUGGGUGCUGCGUGCAGCACUGGGGUCAGGGUCUGAGUGUCUCAAACUCUCAGGGAUCACAGGAAGGGCAGCUGCCACGGUAGGAGGGGAACAGGCUUGGUGACGAGGGCCUUCCCUGCCCCCACCUGUCACUCCAGCCUGGAGCCCCUCCCCCAGGGACCCCAGCAGCUCAUCCUGGAACCCUCCCUCCCACCAAGCCAGGGCCCAGCCUCCUAGCAGGUCAGCAUUUGAUGCCAGUGCCACGGCUCCAGGCCACCAAUGUAAUUACAUAUUCCCACCAAGAGUGCGGUAAUUACACUUAAUGGGUUCAGCGGUAACAGGCGCCUCUGCUGUAACACUGC